RNAcentral lists this transfer RNA (18 nucleotides) under Convolvulus scoparius. RNAcentral's name for it is "partial tRNA-His". Lineage: Eukaryota; Viridiplantae; Streptophyta; Magnoliopsida; Solanales; Convolvulaceae. The record is from RNAcentral.
GGGCGGAUGUAGCCAAGG